GGUUUUGGCUCAGGGGUUGGGGCAGGGGUGGGCUUUACUCUUUGUGGGUUCGGAGACUUCGGGUGCGCAGGCAUUUCCCGGGCAUCGCGCCCCAGCCUGUGACAGAAUUGGAAGUGUUCCUCUGCCUGCUCGCCUGCGAGGGUUCUCCCUUCUCAGGACCCUGCUCUUCCUCCAGAGAGAUACCCAGGAGAAAAGGGAACAGCCAGUUUAUUCCUGAAAGCCAGGCCCCAGGUGAGUUGAGGUUCUCUUCGUUUUUCCUCAAAUGACUGAACUACGGAUGUCUUUGCCCCC
RNAcentral lists this long non-coding RNA (291 nucleotides) under Ursus maritimus (polar bear). RNAcentral describes it as "lncRNA (ENSUMAG00000012088.1)". The record is from RNAcentral. Lineage: Eukaryota; Metazoa; Chordata; Mammalia; Carnivora; Ursidae.